This 253-nucleotide ribosomal RNA is filed under the name uncultured bacterium. Its description in RNAcentral is "partial 16S ribosomal RNA". It matches the Rfam family "Bacterial small subunit ribosomal RNA", at positions 524 to 776 of the family's 1533-position model. The record is from RNAcentral.
UACGGAGGUUGCAAGCGUUGUUCGGAAUAACUGGGCGUAAAGGGAGCGCAGGCGGUUUGGUCAGUCUGAAGUGGAAGCCCGGAGCUUAACUCCGGAAGUGCUUUGGAUACUGCCAAACUUGAGUUCGUGAGAGGAGAGUGGAAUUCCAGGUGUAGCGGUGAAAUGCGUAGAUAUCUGGAGGAACACCGGUGGCGAAAGCGACUCUCUGGCACGAUACUGACGCUGAGGCUCGAAAGCGUGGGGAGCGAACAGG